This 216-nucleotide unclassified non-coding RNA is filed under the name uncultured Thelephoraceae. RNAcentral's name for it is "sequence contains ITS2". The record is from RNAcentral. Lineage: Eukaryota; Fungi; Basidiomycota; Agaricomycetes; Thelephorales; Thelephoraceae.
ACACCUCAACUCUCACAGUUUUCUGUGAUGAGCUUGGACUGUGGGGGUUUGUUGGACUUUGGUCAACUCCUCUCAAAUGAAUCAGCUUGCCGGGGUUUGGUGGCAUCACAGGUGUGAUAACUAUCUACGCUUGUUGCUGUUGACCAGGUACCCUCCAAUUUCGGGGGUCCUCUGCAGCUUAUAAAUGUCUCUCCUCAGUGAAGACAACCAUUUAAA